AUACGGAGGAUCCGAGCGUUAUCCGGAUUUAUUGGGUUUAAAGGGUGCGCAGGCGGGAGAUUAAGUCGGCGGUGAAAUUUUUCAGCCCCACUGUAAAAGUGCCUUCGGAACUGGGUUCCUUUAGUGUAGAUGAAGUAGGGGGGAUUUUUGGUGUAAGGGUGGAAUGCAUAGAUAUCACGAAGAACUCCGAUCGCGAAGGCAGCCUUCCGGCCCGUCAACGACGCUCAUGCUCGAAGGUGCGGGUAUCAAACAGGAUUAGAUACCCUGGUAGUCCGCACAGUAAACGAUGGACACCCGCGGUUUGGCCUGUAUGGCUGAGCCGCCAAGCGAAAGCGUUAAGUGUCCCACCUGGGGAGUACGCCGGCAACGGUGAAACUCAAAGGAAUUGACGGGG
RNAcentral lists this ribosomal RNA (394 nucleotides) under uncultured bacterium. RNAcentral's name for it is "partial 16S ribosomal RNA". It matches the Rfam family "Bacterial small subunit ribosomal RNA", at positions 523 to 918 of the family's 1533-position model. The record is from RNAcentral.